This 402-nucleotide ribosomal RNA is filed under the name uncultured bacterium. RNAcentral's name for it is "bacterial SSU rRNA". It matches the Rfam family "Bacterial small subunit ribosomal RNA", at positions 355 to 774 of the family's 1533-position model. The record is from RNAcentral.
UGGGGAAUAUUGCACAAUGGGGGAAACCCUGAUGCAGCGACGCCGCGUGAGUGAUGAAGUAUUUCGGUAUGUAAAACUCUAUCAGCAGGGAAGAUAAUGACGGUACCUGACUAAGAAGCACCGGCUAAAUACGUGCCAGCAGCCGCGGUAAUACGUAUGGUGCAAGCGUUAUCCGGAUUUACUGGGUGUAAAGGGUGCGUAGGUGGUAUGGCAAGUCAGAAGUGAAAGGCUGGGGCUCAACCCCGGGACUGCUUUUGAAACUGUCAAACUAGAGUACAGGAGAGGAAAGCGGAAUUCCUAGUGUAGCGGUGAAAUGCGUAGAUAUUAGGAGGAACACCAGUGGCGAAGGCGGCUUUCUGGACUGAAACUGACACUGAGGCACGAAAGCGUGGGGAGCAAACA